Chlorocebus sabaeus (green monkey) is the source of this 104-nucleotide small nuclear RNA. Lineage: Eukaryota; Metazoa; Chordata; Mammalia; Primates; Cercopithecidae. The record is from Ensembl.
GUGCUUACUUCAGCAGCAUAUACACUAAAAUGGAAAUGAUAUGGAGAUUAGCGUAGCCUCUGCACAAAGAUGGCAGACAAAUUCGUGAAGCAUUGCAGAUUUUU